UGACCUCGGAUCAGGUAGGAAUACCCGCUGAACUUAAGCAUAUCAAUAAGCGGAGGAAAAGAAACCAACAGGGAUUGCCCCAGUAACGGCGAGUGAAGCGGCAACAGCUCAAAUUUGAAAUCUGGCCCCCUUUGGGGGUCCGAGUUGUAAUUUGCAGAGGAUGCUCUUGGCAAGGCACCGUCCGAGUUCCCUGGAACGGGACGCCGCAGAGGGUGAGAGCCCCGUGUGGACGGAUGCCGAGCCGCUGUAGAGCUCCUUCGACGAGUCGAGUAGUUUGGGAAUGCUGCUCUAAAUGGGAGGUAAAUCUCUUCUAAAGCUAAAUAUAGGCCACAGACCGAUAGCGCACAAGUAGAGUGAUCGAAAGAUGAAAAGCACUUUGAAAAGAGAGUUAAACAGCACGUGAAAUUGUUGAAAGGGAAGCGCUCAUGACCAGACUUGCGCCCGGCGGAUCAUCCGGCGUUCUCGCCGGUGCACUCCGCCGGGCUCAGGCCAGCAUCGGUUCGCUGUCGGGGAGAAAGGUAGAGGGAAUGUGGCUCCUCGGAGUGUUAUAGCCCCCUGCGUAAUACCCUUCGGCGGACCGAGGUCCGCGCGUCUGCAAGGAUGCUGGCGUAAUGGCCACCGGCGACCCGUCUUGAAACACGGACC
This 645-nucleotide ribosomal RNA is filed under the name Graphium radicatum. RNAcentral's name for it is "Graphium sp. PB-2023c partial 28S ribosomal RNA". It matches the Rfam family "Eukaryotic large subunit ribosomal RNA", at positions 1 to 667 of the family's 3401-position model. The record is from RNAcentral. Lineage: Eukaryota; Fungi; Ascomycota; Sordariomycetes; Microascales; Graphiaceae.